Podarcis lilfordi (Lilford's wall lizard) is the source of this 74-nucleotide non-coding RNA. NCBI's taxonomy places the organism in Eukaryota, Metazoa, Chordata, Lepidosauria, Squamata, Lacertidae. The record is from the annotation of a GenBank genome assembly.
GGAGAGACAUAGCUCAGUGGUAGAACUCCUGUUUUGCAUGUAGAGGGUCCUAGGUUCAAUCCCUGGCAUCUUCA